Molecule: long non-coding RNA, 2898 nt
Organism: Emys orbicularis (European pond turtle)
Lineage: Eukaryota; Metazoa; Chordata; Testudines; Emydidae
Exons: 6
Source: RefSeq, a predicted model, not a curated record
GGGUUGUUGGUUCCGGGCGAGGGGGGCCGUGUCGCUGCCAUGCCAUCGUGCUGCGCGCCGAGGGCCGGUUCUGACUGGCCUUUGGGGGUGUUGAAGAAAAAAUUAAUGUUGUUCAACAUAGUGUAAGCUGUUCAGAAGAAGAGUGGAGAAUUCAAUACAUGUUUAUAUUUUGAGACUCGUGAUGAAAGAAUAUUGAUUAUUGCAUUGGAGCCAAGUGCUGUCUUACCCUGGCUAAGGGUGGCUUAUCAACGGAUCAUGUCCCGAUUUGCCUAUUGGGCAUUACCAGUCAGUGGUUGAACUUUUUGCAGAGGUGGUGGAAGAAGUAAACAAGUAUUGUUUGAAAGAAAUUACCAGAGUCCGCACCUACAGUUGCAGGUAGGGUUAUAGCACAGCAGUGGAAGAAUACAACCUCAACUGCUUUGAAAGGAGACAGGUCACAUUUAAACCUAAGCAUAGGCAAACUCCCCUCUUCUCUUUUUUUCCUUCUUGGCAUCCCACAUGGUAGAUAAAAAUUCUGUGACCAGUAGAUGGGGAACAGGACAAAAGUAAAACCCCUGUGACCACUUAAAUGGCCAAUUGAACAUGCUAAUUUUUCCUGUUACAGCAAGUGCACAGAGCUGAGUUUGUUGAAGGACAAUGACAAUAGACAAGAACGUUUAUUGUCUUCAACUGAUAAAGACCAGAGGGGCUUCAUAUAAUUCAGGAGGCUUUCCUCUCUGUUUGGGGGUACUGAGAUAUACAGCACAUACUUUUAAGCUUUUCUGCCUGACCAAAUCUUUGGUCAGUGUCCACAAACAUGGAUGCUCAGUGACCAGUUUCUGCUGAACUGAUUAUGGAAGGGUGCAUUGUGGUGGUUUUCUGCCUGGCGGAUCUGUGACAGUGUCAGAGCGGCCUCAACCUACCACAAAGAGUAUAAAGGAGAAGGACAGUCAUGAAAACUUUUCCAGAACUUUUCGUUUUCAGUUAUUCUUCCAGCUCCUACAAGGCAGACCUGCCUCAUAAGUUUAAGUCUGUAGAGACGGGUGAUCAUCUGUCUCACAUGAUGACAAGCAGUACUGAGGGGUGUGCAAACCCCCGUGAUGGAUUUAUUGCCUUAUCUAGAAGAAUGGUAUGGUUUGUGUCUUUUUCUUAUUGUGUCCUCCAUCUCCAGGUGAUUCCUGUACCACUCACUGUUGUGCUACUGAAGACAUUAAAGAGUCCUCUAUUGUACAAGUGCAAGAACAACAGAUCGAAUUACUAGAAAUCCCAGAGCACUCUGAUAUCACGCAAGCGAGACAUAGACUUCAUUCAAGAGGCAAUGAGACCUAUUCUUCAGUGGAUGUCCAGUUUGCUGCAACUGUUUGAACUCAUCCCCACCUGCACCAGGGGUUCUGGUGUCCCAGCUCUGAGGCCUGGUCUACACGACAGAGUUUGUUUGUUUGCAAGGCAGCUUACAUUGACCUAAUUCUGUAAGCGUCUACACUAAAACGUUGCUCCCGCCGAUGUAACUCGCCCUCUCCGCCGACUUAGUAACUCCACCUCCACGAGAGGCAUAGUGCUUAUGUCAACAUAGUUUGGUUGACACAAUAUCAGUGACACUGCAUUACUUAUGUCUACUUUAGUGGCUUCCAGGAGGUGUCCCAUGAUGCCCCAGCAUAACUGCUCUGGUCACCUUUUAGAACUCCGCUGCCUGGCAGUCAGGUAUGCAUGUACAUGCCUCUCCCCCUUUAAAGCCCCGCCAAUUUUAAAUUCUAUUUCAUGUUUGGUUGGUAUGGAGAGUUCACAUAGCAACUGCCCAGCUGACCAUGCUGGCGCCACGCAGAAAAGGUGCUCUUGCCAGGAGUACACAGCAGGUGGUGGAUCUCCUUGGUCUGUGGGGAGAAGAGGCUGUGCAGGCACAGCUCUGAUCCAUCCGUAGAAACGUUGACAUCUAUGGCCAGAUCGCUGGGGGCAUGGCGGAGAAGGGCUACAACAGGCACAUGCAGCAGUGCCAUGUAAAAAUCAAGGAGUUGCUGCAGGUGUACCAGAAGGUAAGGGAGGCAAACUGUCACUCUGGUGUGGAACCGCAGACAGGCUGCUUCUACACGGAGCUGCAAGCCUUCCUUGGGGGAGACCACCACCACGAACCCCGUGGAUAUUUCAGGGGAGCUGGAAUCAGCGACCCCUGCAGUGCACACUGAGGAGGAGGUGAUGCACGAGGAGGAGGAGUUUUGGAGGACAGGCGACUGGGGGAAUGCAGUGGCGCAGUGAGCCAGGACCUCUUUCUGACCGCCGAAGAGUCCCUACUAUCCAGCACCGGCGAGCCUGAUGCAGGGGAUGGAACCUCUACUGGAAAUGUGGCUUUGAGGGUCUCUCCAUCCACACCACUGGAGUGGCUCAGAUGAUGAGAAGAAAGGGGAUGAGGGACGACAUGUUCCACGAGAUCCUGCAAGCCUCUGGUGUUGCACAUACCGAGCAGAGGGCUUGGAGGAGCACCCUUGUGGACAGAAUGGAAAGAGAUAGUGCAGAGAGGAGAAACACAGAGGAAAAGGACAGACACACGCAGCAGGUCAUGUUAGCGCUUCUCAAGCGCCAGAUGGACAUGCUGGAGAUUCUUAUAGACCUUCAGGUCCAAGUAAUCCUUGCUUGCCUCCCACUGCAGUCUAUUGAUAACUGCAUUCUGGGACCUCACUAUGCUCCCUGCCCCUACAUUUCACAUAUAUUUCAGGGCCACUGCAGUACCCCUACCCACUCCAUCCCGAGGGAGAGUACACACAAUCAGAGCUGCACGUACACUGACCUAUGAGAGACACGGUUGGUGUAUUUGUGUUUGAAAUGAGAAUGACUGUUCUUUCCCUGUCAAAGGUUCUUUUCCCUGUAUUUAUAUAGUUUCAUUCAGUUACAGUUAUUUUUGUUUGCAUGAGUUUGGAAUAAAAGUCU